RNAcentral lists this ribosomal RNA (468 nucleotides) under uncultured bacterium. RNAcentral describes it as "partial 16S ribosomal RNA". It matches the Rfam family "Bacterial small subunit ribosomal RNA", at positions 28 to 507 of the family's 1533-position model. The record is from RNAcentral.
GACGAACGCUGGCGGCGUGCUUAACACAUGCAAGUCGAACGGAAAGGCCCUGCUUUUGUGGGGUGCUCGAGUGGCGAACGGGUGAGUAACACGUGAGUAACCUGCCCUUGACUUUGGGAUAACUUCAGGAAACUGGGGCUAAUAACGGAUAGGAGCUCCUGCUGCAUGGUGGGGGUUGGAAAGUUUCGGCGGUUGGGGAUGGACUCGCGGCUUAUCAGCUUGUUGGUGGGGUAGUGGCUUACCAAGGCUUUGACGGGUAGCCGGCCUGCGCGGGUGACCGGCCACAUUGGGACUGAGAUACGGCCCAGACUCCUACGGGAGGCAGCAGUGGGGAAUAUUGCACAAUGGGCGGAAGCCUGAUGCAGCAACGCCGCGUGCGGGAUGACGGCCUUCGGGUUGUAAACCGCUUUCGCCUGUGACGAAGCGUGAGUGACGGUAAUGGGUAAAGAAGCACCGGCUAACUACGUG